GGUAUCACUCUAAUCCUUUUUAAACAAUUUUAUUUUUAAUAUUUAAAAUUGACAAAUUAAACCAUGUGUAUAUAUAUAUGUAUGUAUAGUAUACAACAUGAUGUUUUAAUACAGUAUAUAUGUGUGUAUAUAGCUAAUAUAUUAGCUAUUUAGUAAAUAAAAUGAGCUAAGAAGAAAGACACUGAUCUUUUUUCCUUACUUUAGAUGAAUCCUUUAAUAUCUCUGGGUCUUGCUUUCUUAUACAUAAGAAAACUUUAAUGAAUCUUGAAAUUUAUUUUAAAACUAAAUAGUUUAUAUCCUUUCCAUAAACUAAUAUAACAUAUAUUUAACUACCUUUAUAAAUCAGUAUCUAUACUGCUAACAAGAAACUGCAUUUAAGUACCAGAAGAGCCCUUGUUAUAUGGAUAGCUUACUCAGUAAUAAUUCAGAAAACUUUUAGCAACAUAAAAAGGCAACAAAAGCAGCAUACCUCAUUGCAUGUGCUAGCAUUAUUGAGAGCUUCAUGUAUAUUAAUUCUUUCAACUCUUAUAAUCUAUUUAUUUUUGCUUUGUGUGUAUUAGGUCUUAACAAAGUCUUAAAGAUCAAAUACUGAAUGAUAACACAUGUAGUAAAGCGAAAAGACUGAGGGGCAGAAUGACUUAAUAUCUUGCACGGGACUGCAUGGAGGAUGAUUUUUCUUUGAAUCCAGCAACCAUUCUGAGAGGAAAGUUAAAACAGUCCAUGCAGAAAGGCCACAUGAAAUGGCUAGAUGUGGUUGCAAGGGAUGACAAUUUAGCUGAGGUUCCAGCUGCCAGCAUACAUCAAGUUUCAGAUAUGAGAUUGAAGAUGUCUCCAGACUAUUUGAGUUCCAUGUUGUUGAGUCACAUCAUGGAGCAGAGAAAGAUUACGCCAUCUGUCCAAAUUCCUGAUUUAAAAAAAACUCAUGGCAAUAAUAAAAUUUUAAUAAAUACUACCAGAUUUACUGUGGUUUGUUACAUAUAAUAGUAACUGAAAGGUCAAAUAAAGUAUACAAAGCAUGUUAUAUUUUAGAUACAUUACCGAUAACAGUGAUGUGACUGUAUGCAAAAACUGGGUUAUUCCAAAUUGCCUCUGGGCUGUCAGUCUGAGUUGUCUGGAUAAUGUUAAUUGAGUCAAAAAUGCC
RNAcentral lists this long non-coding RNA (1141 nucleotides) under Papio anubis (olive baboon). RNAcentral describes it as "lncRNA (ENSPANG00000041360.1)". The record is from RNAcentral. Lineage: Eukaryota; Metazoa; Chordata; Mammalia; Primates; Cercopithecidae.